GCGCUUGGCUCUCGGGCCGGCGGAGAGGGCCCAGGGCCGGGUAGGGUUGGCAGGCUAGGGGCCGGCUACCGCCGCCUCGGGCGCCGCCUGCCGGUCCUAGGGGGCGACCGCCUACGGCGGAGGCCGCUGCUGCUGCGGCGCCGCCGCCGCCUGCGCGAGGACUCGCGCCGGAGCCUCGUCGACUGCGACCACAUGGUCCCCCUCCAGAUGCAGAAGCUGGGGCAGGGCGGGGUUUUCCAAGUUCGACGAGACAACCACGAACCUCCCACACUCCACGGAGGACCAAAUCAUUCGUACCGACCCGGAUGACGUAUACGACUUUUCUCAUGUUGACACCGACGGUUUUCCCAACGAAGGAAUUACUCCAAAGCGCUCUUCUCCUUCCUUUCUACAAAACUAUUCUUUUAUUCUAUGCCUCACGCGUUCCUCCAACGGGUUUUCUACUUCGCCGCAUUUCCUGUCAAACGACCUUCCCGUCUAAAACCACUACGACGUUCAAGAAGACGUCGAACACAGAGACGUCAGCUACCGCUCCUACUAGUAAAGGCUCUUAGGGUAACAGUUUUAACACCACAGUCGAGUUCCGAAUGAGGUCGUUACGCAGCCCCGGGCCGACCGGGGUCCUGGGAGACAUUACGAACACCGAACUACACCCGUUUAUUCCCAUGAGACUCUUCAGGAAACUUACGAGGGUUUUACUGGCACGUCGUAGGACAGUUAGGCUCAUUUUACCUCUCACACCUACUACUGUUUCGUUAACACACACGACUCGCAUUAGUAUGGCGUCAGUUUUACCUAAGACUCUACAUUCGUUCGGAAGAAAUGACGUAGAGUCUAGUGACAGAAUCGUCGAUCCUCAUAUGAUAAAAUGUUCCAGGAGUUGAGGAGUACAGUCCCAAAUUUACCCUUUGGAGUACCGAAUACUCUCUAGAGAGUCUUGUGGUUGAUACACGGUAAUAGAUUGAAAGAACUAGGAAACGGGGAAAAAAACACACACCCCUAAGAUGAAAGAACUGGUCCUCAGGCCUUGUUCUUGUCUUUGGUCUUGACGCGGGCCGCUGACUUCCGCUGUGGUACCGACUAAGUACUGUUCACAUAUAUUUACUUUGUAUCCAAAAACAGUCUAUAAAGGACUGAAAUCUUUACUACAUAUUCCGUUGUUUUGAUUGUGUUCGUACGUAGCUGUACGGUGUAAAUAGGGGAGGUACAUAAUAUAAAUGUGUAACAUAUGGGUUGUCAAGACGUUACGUCUCUUAAGUCCUUACGUUAGUUAGGUAGUGUAAGAACCACAACCGA
This 1296-nucleotide ribosomal RNA is filed under the name Triticum aestivum (bread wheat). RNAcentral describes it as "partial small subunit ribosomal RNA". Lineage: Eukaryota; Viridiplantae; Streptophyta; Magnoliopsida; Poales; Poaceae. The record is from RNAcentral.